GAUGCAGAGCAGACUGGCUGGAUGCCACGUCGUGCUUGUUACCUUGGUCCUGCUGGAAAGAAAACAGACCCGACACUGCAAAACUAACUGCAUAGCUGAGGCUGUUUUGUCUUUACGAAUAUAAUUUAUUCAUCAAGUUUAAAGAAAUCUACAGAUUAGUGGGGAGAGUAGCUGGAUGGAGAGAGAACUUCUGUAAUUAGAAAUUUGAAGAGGGGCACCUGGGUGGCUCAGUCGGUUAAGUGUCCGACUUGAUUUCGGCUCAGGUCAUGAUCUCACGGUUUGUGAGUAUGAGCCCUGAAGUGGGCUCCAUGCUGAAGAAAAAGAAAUCUGAGAAGGAACAAAUCCAAAAUUGCUUACGACAGCCAUGUCCAAAUACCCUACCUCUUCCAUCCACCCAUCUUCUCGGGGAAGCCUCUGCAACCGGUUUCUCGUCAGCUCAAGCUGCAGGCCAUCGAACCUACACUUAAACCAGCGAUGAGCUUCUUCCAGGUUAGCUGUUAUCUGGACAUACAAGCGUUAUCAUUAAACAUUACAACAAAGAAACAGUUUUUUGUGUAUUGGUUCAAGAGACUUUUUACCUAGAUGUUAAAAGACCCAAAUUCUGAAUGCAAGGUCCUUGUAACCUAUUUGCAUAAUAUCCAUUCUACAGAUGAGAGAGAUUUCUGGAUGCAGAAAUGAGGGCUGCCUGCAAGCCUGUUGCUUUUUCAUGCAUUUGUUCCUAUUUCUUGGGCGUGACCUAAGGUAAGAGAACCCCGGGGAAAAAUCAGAAUGACGGGGUAAGAUAGCGCUGCAAGUGAACGUGGUAGUGCAAACCAUGGUUGGGACUUGUGAGUUCUGUUCUCCAAGACUAAAUACUUCUCCAAAGUCCCUACACUAGAUUUUUCUGUUGUUCUUUAUGAAAGUAAACUGAAUUAGUAAAAGACGGAACCAGCUUAGCAUAAGUCGCAUCCUCUUUAUUUCCUUUAUCAUCAAAAUAUUUUAGACUUCAGCUCCUAAGCACAAACUUCCAAAUCACCUUUGUCAGAUUGACUUAAAUGGUCCCUCUAGUCGUCUGCCUUUGAAGAUGAUCUGGACUCCGUAUUCAUUUAAUUGACAAAUGUCUACUGUGUGCCUGGCACUUUUAUGUGUGUUUGGGAUACUAUGGUAUUUUAAGGUAGGGCCAACAGGCUUUUCUGUGGUAUAAUGGUUGCUUCAAAACAGCUCCAGAACAUAUCCUCUAGAAUAAAAAGCAAAAUGACUGUUUUCUUCCCUUUGAUUAUUUGUUUCAUGGACAGCAUUUUCGUUUUUUGAUUCUCAAGUCUUGAGAGGUAUUUCUGUCUUGCCUGGGAGAAGGCAAGAUCUAGGAGAGCAGGGACUUCGUCGGGCUUGUUUCACCCUGUGUCUCCAUCACCUAGGACAGCACCCAACAUAUGACAGGUCCACAGUAAAUACGUGCGACUAUGUAUUUGUCCUAGCCCGGCCAGUUCACAGUGUGGGCACAAAAUAGUGAGGUAAAAAAAAUAGAGCUCCCCUGGCAUUUAACUUUUAGAAAGUUACAAAGUUCAAGUAUUUUCCAGGUCUGUUUGUAUACCCUAAUGCCGGUGAUACUCACACUCUGCCCCCCACCAAAGGCAGUGUCCAGCACUCUUUACCAGGAGUGGAGGGAAAGAGGCUUGAAAUGGCCCUGUACAUCCAUCCUAUCUCCUCUUGUUUGGUAAAUGGGAAGGGAGGCACCGUUUACUGAAACUUACUCUGAGCCAUCUAACAGAACAACGGAAAGAACUGUUAAACUGAAGGACAGCACUGGUCCCCAGGAGCAGUGAGCUGCCUGGUGUAAGUGCCCACUGAGCUCCCCGCUCCAUCACUGCCUCUGGAGGCCACAGGUUACAUCUCUCUUGGAUCCUGGCUCUGCAGCUUUCGAGUUAGCAGCUUUCAGACUUUAAGGCUUCCAUUUUCUGGACUGGGUCGCUCCAGUGUGAGGUCUCAGGUGAAUAAAACUUUUAAGGCUGAACAGAUAUUUUUGAAUUACAAUGGCUACAGUGGAGAACUUUUAACCUAAAUAUGCUUAUCCAUGUAUGAGGUGCUCUAGAGAAGGUGCUCUAGAAAAGCAAAGCCAAGCACUCAUAAAGGGAAAAGAAAAAUUAUUUUCCUUUCUCUGUGGUUUCUGGGGACUAGAAUGAGAUAUGCUGGAACACGAGCCUCCAGAUGGGAUCUGGGACAACUAGCAGAAGCUAACAAAGAGUGAGAAUUCUCAGCAAAGUCAGCUUUCUCAGAUGUCUGUGAUGUCUGGCUGAGAGAAGAAAGUAAAAAAAUUCACACUGUCCGUUCCUUUCCAAAUUCAGAUUGAUAGGCAAAAAACAGCUGUAAGAAUUAAUCUUUGAAUUGUAUCUUGUGAAUCUGCUUUUGGGUACCCACUGGUUGUUGAUCCUUUCUCACCCAGGGACAGCUACUGCCUUCUUGUUUAUCUUGCUUUAUGUCCUGAGAACCUGGCGAGGCAACCAUCGGGUCAGAGGCUGGAUAGAAAUAGGGGUGCCAUCCCAUUCAUGGCUAGGGACCUACUGACCCCCAACACAAUUCUCUUUCUUUUGGUUACUUUGGGAGUGGCUCUGAUCUUGGGAGGGUAGUAUCUUUUGUGCUCUUUGGGGAUCUCUCUUAUAUUCAAGGGUUUAAUACUGCUAGGAAUAUUUACUGUUUGUCCUGGCUGAAACUUGGCAAGAUAUCUGGAAGAAUUUAAAGGAGUUCUAUGGUCAGAAGAUGGCCAUAUUCAGAGCCUGACAGACUUUUAAAAAUUCCUUUCUCCUCUCUGCAAUGAUGGCACUAUUACUGGUCAACAGCAGUUCACCUCCUGCUUGUUGAUCCUUUGGGUCUGAGUGAAGAU
Long non-coding RNA from Felis catus (domestic cat), 2857 nucleotides. RefSeq lists it as uncharacterized. The record is from RefSeq and is a predicted model, not a curated record. Lineage: Eukaryota; Metazoa; Chordata; Mammalia; Carnivora; Felidae. The transcript has 3 exons.